Molecule: ribosomal RNA, 460 nt
Filed under: uncultured bacterium
Lineage: Bacteria
Description: partial 16S ribosomal RNA
Rfam family: Bacterial small subunit ribosomal RNA
Source: RNAcentral
CCUACGGGAGGCAGCAGUGAGGAAUAUUGGUCAAUGGACGAGAGUCUGAACCAGCCAAGUAGCGUGAAGGAUGACUGCCCUAUGGGUUGUAAACUUCUUUUAUAUGGGAAUAAAAUGUGCCACGUGUGGGAUUUUGUAUGUACCAUAUGAAUAAGGAUCGGCUAACUCCGUGCCAGCAGCCGCGGUAAUACGGAGGAUCCGAGCGUUAUCCGGAUUUAUUGGGUUUAAAGGGAGCGUAGGUGGAUUGUUAAGUCAGUUGUGAAAGUUUGCGGCUCAACCGUAAAAUUGCAGUUGAUACUGGCAGUCUUGAGUACAGUAGAGGUGGGCGGAAUUCGUGGUGUAGCGGUGAAAUGCUUAGAUAUCACGAAGAACUCCGAUUGCGAAGGCAGUUCACUGGACUGCAACUGACACUGAGGCUCGAAAGUGUGGGUAUCAAACAGGAUUAGAUACCCCAGUAGUC